CCUACGGGAGGCAGCAGUGAGGAAUAUUGGUCAAUGGGCGCGAGCCUGAACCAGCCAAGUAGCGUGAAGGAUGACUGCCCUACGGGUUGUAAACUUCUUUUAUAAAGGAAUAAAGUGACGCACGUGUGCAUUUUUGUACGUACUUUAUGAAUAAGGAUAGGCUAAACCCGGGCCAGCAGCCGCGGUAAUACGGAGGAUCCGAGCGUUAUCCGGAUUUAUUGGGUUUAAAGGGAGUGUAGAUGGGUUGUUAUGUCAGGGGUAAAAUGGCGGGGCUCAACCCCGGCCAGCCGUUGAAACUGGCGACCACGAGUGAGCGAGAGGGAUGCGGAAUGCGGGGUGUAGCGGUGAAAUGCGUAGAUAUAACGCAGAACUCCGAUUGCGAAGGCAGCAUACCGGCGCCCUACUGACGCUGAGGCACGAAAGCGUGGGUAUCGAACAGGAUUAGAUACCCCUGUAGUC
Molecule: ribosomal RNA, 459 nt
Filed under: uncultured bacterium
Lineage: Bacteria
Description: partial 16S ribosomal RNA
Rfam family: Bacterial small subunit ribosomal RNA
Source: RNAcentral